Molecule: unclassified non-coding RNA, 343 nt
Filed under: soil metagenome
Description: partial contains 5.8S ribosomal RNA, internal transcribed spacer 2, and large subunit ribosomal RNA
Rfam family: 5.8S ribosomal RNA (bases 1-120)
Source: RNAcentral
GAUGAAGAACGCAGCGAAAUGCGAUAAUUGAUGUGAAUUGCAGAAUUCAGUGAAUCAUCGAAUCUUUGAACGCACAUUGCGCCCGCUAGUAUUCUGGCGGGCAUGCCUGUCCGAGCGUCAUUUCAACCCUCAAGCCCCCGGGCUUGGUGUUGGGGAUCGGCGAGCCUCCGCGCCCGCCGUCCCCUAAAUCUAGUGGCGGUCUCGCUGUAGCUUCCUCUGCGUAGUAGCACACCUCGCACUGGGAAACAGCGCGGCCACGCCGUUAAACCCCCAACUUCUGAACGUUUGACCUCGGAUCAGGUAGGAAUACCCGCUGAACUUAAGCAUAUCAAUAAGCGGAGGA